UGGUGUAAAACUAAUUCAGCCUGACCUUGUUUUUCCAGAAAGGCCUGAUGUGGCCUGAUGAGCACGCAUUGUACAUCUGCUUUAAACAUUUACAAUGUCCCAAAGACAAGAAUGUCGCCCUUAAAGAUAUUCAGUCGUUUAUUCCAAAGAUAAAAAUCAUGACAGUUUAAGAAGUAUGGUUCAGAAGGAAAAGAAGAUGAAUUCCAUAACUAUGGUGUGAUCUAUGGAAAUGAGAAUAUUUCCUCAAAUCUAAGACACCAUCAAUGGGAGCAGAGCCCCAGCAGACUGGUUAGUAACAGGGUGUUCUGAGCCCAGCAUCCGAGAACCGUAAGAACACGGAGUUACUUGGCCAGUUGUCUUUCCUCAGUGCACACAUCACAGUCU
Molecule: long non-coding RNA, 384 nt
Organism: Diceros bicornis minor
Lineage: Eukaryota; Metazoa; Chordata; Mammalia; Perissodactyla; Rhinocerotidae
Exons: 3
Source: RefSeq, a predicted model, not a curated record